Long non-coding RNA from Sapajus apella (tufted capuchin), 197 nucleotides. RefSeq lists it as uncharacterized. The record is from RefSeq and is a predicted model, not a curated record. NCBI's taxonomy places the organism in Eukaryota, Metazoa, Chordata, Mammalia, Primates, Cebidae. The transcript is spliced from 3 exons.
AAGAACGACACCCACACAGUAGAAAGUGACUUGUUUUCUAAGUGUAUAAAGCAGUAUUACAGAAACAGAAUUUUAAAAACAAAAAGGAAAAACCCCCUAGCAGAUAAAAUUUUUACCACUAUUAAGUUGGCCAAAAAAAGAACAUUUUAAAGAGGCAAAGAAAUUACAUUUUAAACACUUACGAACUAUAUUUUAAA